This 498-nucleotide ribosomal RNA is filed under the name uncultured bacterium. Its description in RNAcentral is "partial 16S ribosomal RNA". It matches the Rfam family "Bacterial small subunit ribosomal RNA", at positions 30 to 523 of the family's 1533-position model. The record is from RNAcentral.
AUUGAACGCUGGCGGCAUGCCUUACACAUGCAAGUCGAACGGUAACAGGUCUUCGGAUGCUGACGAGUGGCGAACGGGUGAGUAAUACAUCGGAACGUGCCUAGUAGUGGGGGAUAACUACUCGAAAGAGUGGCUAAUACCGCAUGAGAUCUACGGAUGAAAGCAGGGGAUCGCAAGACCUUGUGCUACUAGAGCGGCCGAUGGCAGAUUAGGUAGUUGGUGGGAUAAAAGCUUACCAAGCCGACGAUCUGUAGCUGGUCUGAGGGGACGAUCGUCCGCACUGGGAGUGAGACACGGCCCAGACGCCGACGGGAGGCAGCAGUGGGGAAUUUUGGACAAUGGGCGAAAGCCUGAUCCAGCAAUGCCGCGUGCAGGAUGAAGGCCUUCGGGUUGUAAACUGCUUUUUUGCGGAACGAAAAGCCCCGGGUUAAUACCCUGGGGUCAUGACGGUACCGUAAGAAUAAGCACCGGCUAACUACGUGCCAGCCGCCGCGGUAA